AUAAUUCUAACAAAAAACAUCAAUACAUAUUGUAGAGUCAUGUUAGGUAAAAGUUGAAUUUGGUAGUAUUUGUUUCUAUUGGGUCUUCUUGUCAUAUCUGUAGUCUCUAUGCUACCUCCAUAUACGGCUUAUUAGUACUUGAUCCCAAAAUAGGUAGUCAUGUGUUGAUUGUGGUGGAGGAAAGUGGAAGAGGCAAAUCAUCAGAGUGUCAUUUACAAUAAUGCUGCUGUUUAUUUUAUUUGUAUGGUACAGUCUUAGUAAAAUUGGAAGUGAUGCUGGUUCUUGUCCAAAGGGAUAUGCCUGGACUUGAUGCUUGCCACUUGUAAAAUAGAAUGCCAUUCGAUGAGUUGGCGUCACAGUGAUAGAUGUGGACCAUAUACGGGUCUACUCAUAAAUGAUGGGACUGAUGAGUUCCUCAUAAAACGCCUCAAAAUUUGUGAAAAUGUGUUAAUUGCACUACUAACCUUCUGAUUUACAUUUAGCAAACUUGGGCUGCAUCAAUAAAAGCAAAAUUUGAAAUGAUGGGUGAUGGGUUCCAGGUUUCAUUGGAGGGCCACCUUAACUGUGGGAAAGGUAUCUAGGAGAUGUGCACAGUCUACAGUAUGUGUAGAGGAAUGUUGCGUACAUGUAAUGCCUGAGUCCAGCUCCAAAUUAUACAUUUGAAAGACCAUGGUCAUUUAGAGUAUAGGGGGAGAGGCAUUUAAAAGUGUAUUGUAUGAGUAAAUUUUUGAAGGCACAGUAAAUGAUGCCCGUUAUUUAAACUUGGCUCAGCUUUGUUGAGAAUGUGUUAAAAGGGUACACUUCUCCCUCCCAUGCUGUAUGUUACUGUGGUAGGUCUUUUUCAAAUGGGUGCACUGUUUGUGUGUCAUUGUAUAUCAUAUGUUUUACUCUGUAUUAUUCUUGUGGAACAGCAAAAUGUAUUACUUCUGGUUCGGGUGCGGGCUAUCAAUGUGCGUUGCAGCUAAUUUGCAGCUGCCCUAUCCACUACUGUCUUGAUAAUUGUGGAAAAGGUAUCUGGGAGAUGUGCACAGUCUUCAUAUGUGCCAAGUGAUGUGUUACGUUCACUUAAUGCUUUAGUCCAGUGCUGAAUUAUUAAUUUAUUUGAAAGACCAUGGGGAGAGGCAUUUAAAAGUGUGUGUUAUGAGUAAAUUAUAUGUAAUUAAUAAGUUGAUGAUUGUUUAGUAAUAAAUGAAAGCAAGCUUUAAAAAGAUAGUGCUAAUUGUACCGUUUAAUAUGAUUGCAGGAGCACGGACCAGAAAUGUUCAUGACAUAAGCCAAGAAGUCAAUGGAGUCAUUUUACCUUAAAGAAUAGAUGAACUUUCUGCUUGUGACAUCAUAUCAAAAGUAUACUGCUUUCCUUCGGCUUUCACUUUGUGGUGAGAGUAUACUGAUGAGUUCUGGGACCAAACUUCUGUCAUUAUGUGAAAAUGACUGAUAAUAGCUUAGGUGCUGAAUCUUCUGUAUCCACAAUGCAACAAUGAAAGGUGAUUCCCAUCAAAAGAAGAAUGGCAAGAGUCCUUUAUUGGUUGUAGAAGACUGAGUAUGAAUGGGACUCCAUAUUUUGAAGGACAAAUUGAAUUUGGAUGUAGAUGUUAGUUUUCCUUUGGAGAUUGAUGAGGAUGGUCUCUCCGUACAGAGGGCAAACUUUAAUUGUCAGACUACAAUGCUUGGAUCGUUUCACAUGGAAGACCUUCCACUAGUUGCAUCCGUGCUUGACAUCAGCUAAGCCACCCAUUGUUGUAAUCCAAUGUAUACUGAGUUGGCAUCACAGUAUUCAGCAUAAGAAAUGGCCCCUUUUUCUCAUAAUCACAUGAUCGAAUCUGCGGGCCUUUGCGGUCGGUCGCUGCGCUUCGGAUCGGGCUGCCUGGCCGAGCUGACCACGCCUCCAAAUGCAAGUUUUGCCCGACGACGACGCCACCAGCCCGCCUCAUCUUGACGUGGGUCUCGAAGAGUGCACCGUUUGACCCACGGCACAAGGGUUUGCACCGGUUUGCACGUUUGACCCACGGCAAAGGGUUUGCUGACUCCACAGCUUGAACGGAACUGCUCCGCUAAACACUUCCACAAUGAGGGUGUCCCCAUCCCUACCACCACCGCCGGCCCUCGGGAAAAUACCAGGUGGCUGAUUAACCCCACACACUUUUUUGUACUAUGCAACCCGCCCGCACGGCU
Molecule: long non-coding RNA, 2172 nt
Organism: Frankliniella occidentalis (western flower thrips)
Lineage: Eukaryota; Metazoa; Arthropoda; Insecta; Thysanoptera; Thripidae
Exons: 6
Source: RefSeq, a predicted model, not a curated record